Labeo rohita (rohu) is the source of this 514-nucleotide long non-coding RNA. RefSeq lists it as uncharacterized. The record is from RefSeq and is a predicted model, not a curated record. The transcript has 3 exons. NCBI's taxonomy places the organism in Eukaryota, Metazoa, Chordata, Actinopteri, Cypriniformes, Cyprinidae.
UUCAUCACUAAAAUGUUUCACAAGCUCUAAAAAGGACAACAACAAACAAGAAGUGGCAUAAUGGUCGUCCAUCAGAAAUAACGUAUUUGUGAUGCUUUGUGAAAUGAUGACAGAGUUUGAAGAUACAUCACAUGCAGGGCAGUCGACAAGGGUGGACAACUGGAGACAUGUUCAAGGAAACCAAUAUGGGGCAUUUACACAUGAAGCAAGACAGUAUUCACAGAAAAGUUUUUUAAAAGAUUUAUACUGCUUGAUGGUGAUAACAAUCUGGUGAAUCAAGAAUGUGAUACAAUCCUCUGGAUCACAGAGAGAGAUGAUACCAGUCAUCACAAAGCAUGUGAGCUUAGAGUGGGUCAUGUUAAUGGACACCCGGUAUCUGUGUUAAAAACUCCAUCCAAUUGGCUACAACAGUUGAGAUCAGCAUUAUUUUUCAAGCGUGCAUUAAUUUUUAAUAGGAGCAACGAAAACUUAAAUGAUUACUAAAUGAAAUAAAACUGCAGUUAGAUGCAAUAUU